CUUAUCAAGAAGGAAAUCCGGAGGACGUUGACUCGACCAGUCUUAACCCUCCGACAGCUAGCCAGGAUAAUUGGCCUGCUAUCUGCCUCUAUACAAGCGAUCUUCCCAGGACCUCUCCACUACAGAUCCCUUCAACAGCUCAAAGCAACCCACCUACGCUUGGGUCAAUCCUAUUCAGAUUCUGUACCUCUAGACUGCGCAGUAAAAGAGGAACUGGCAUGGUGGCUUCAACACAUGGAAGCAUGGAACGGCAAGGCAAUCUUCGGAACCACUCCGGAUCUCGUCAUAGAAUCCGACGCGAGCAGACUUGGAUAGGGG
Molecule: non-coding RNA, 318 nt
Organism: Pelobates cultripes (western spadefoot toad)
Lineage: Eukaryota; Metazoa; Chordata; Amphibia; Anura; Pelobatidae
Source: the annotation of a GenBank genome assembly